CCUACGGGUGGCUGCAGUGGGGAAUAUUGGACAAUGGGCGAAAGCCUGAUCCAGCCAUGCCGCGUGUGUGAAGAAGGCCUUCGGGUUGUAAAGCACUUUCAGUGGGGAAGAAAGCCUUGGGGCUAAUACCCUCGAGGAAGGACAUCACCCACAGAAGAAGCACCGGCUAACUCCGUGCCAGCAGCCGCGGUAAUACGGAGGGUGCGAGCGUUAAUCGGAAUUACUGGGCGUAAAGCGCGCGUAGGCGGUCUGAUAAGCCGGUUGUGAAAGCCCCGGGCUCAACCUGGGAACGGCAUCCGGAACUGUCAGGCUAGAGUGCAGGAGAGGAAGGUAGAAUUCCCGGUGUAGCGGUGAAAUGCGUAGAGAUCGGGAGGAAUACCAGUGGCGAAGGCGGCCUUCUGGAAUGACACUGACGCUGAGGUGCGAAAGCGUGGGUAGCAAACAGGAUUAGAUACCCCAGUAGUC
RNAcentral lists this ribosomal RNA (465 nucleotides) under Vreelandella stevensii. Its description in RNAcentral is "partial 16S ribosomal RNA". It matches the Rfam family "Bacterial small subunit ribosomal RNA", at positions 338 to 795 of the family's 1533-position model. Lineage: Bacteria; Pseudomonadati; Pseudomonadota; Gammaproteobacteria; Oceanospirillales; Halomonadaceae. The record is from RNAcentral.